GAUGAACGCUGGCGGCGUGCCUAAUACAUGCCAGUCGAGCGAACAGACGAGGAGCUUGCUCGUCUGACGUUAGCGGCGGACGGGUGAGUAACACGUGGAUAAUCUCCCUAUAAGUCUGGGAAAUUCACGAGAAACCGGAGCUAAUCCCGGAUAAUCUCCUGCUCCGCGUUGUUGAAUAGUGAAAGACGGUUUUGCUGUCAGUUAUCGAUGGUUAUGAGCCGCAUUAGCUAGUUGGUAAGGUAACGGCUUACCAAGGCGACGAUGCGUAGCCGAACUGUGAGAGGGAUCGGCCACACGAGAACUGGAACACGGUCCAGGCUCCUACGGGAGGCAGCAGUAGGGUAUCUGCCGCAGUGGGCGAAAGCCUUACGGAGCAACGGCGCGUGAGUGAUGAAGAUCUUCGGAUCGUAAAACUCUGUUAUGAGGGAAGAACAAAUGUGUAAGGAACUAUGCACGGCUUGACGGUACCUAAUCAGAAAGCCACGGCUAACUACGUG
This 497-nucleotide ribosomal RNA is filed under the name uncultured bacterium. RNAcentral describes it as "partial 16S ribosomal RNA". It matches the Rfam family "Bacterial small subunit ribosomal RNA", at positions 28 to 507 of the family's 1533-position model. The record is from RNAcentral.